Molecule: long non-coding RNA, 825 nt
Filed under: Delphinapterus leucas (beluga whale)
Lineage: Eukaryota; Metazoa; Chordata; Mammalia; Artiodactyla; Monodontidae
Description: lncRNA (ENSDLEG00000012586.1)
Source: RNAcentral
AAAAUAUAAUGUAAGACAAAAAAGUCAAGAUCACAUAUAAAAUGUGAUCUUCACUUAACACUGAUCGAUGUCUUUGCCGUGCAAAGAGCUUGCAGGCAGGAUCAGUGAUUCUUUACAAAUAGUUCAUUGAGAUUUCUUAAAAAGUCAGGGCAGCACAGAGGCUGCUGCUCCGCGAUCCUGCUAGUCUCAGUGGUCUCCUUACAAAGACGGGCGGCUGGAAGCUGCCAGCUCACUUUAAGAGCAGCUUUGUGAAAAACAACCCCAGUGCGCAUGCGCACGCCGCGGCUGCUGUCCGCCCUCCCUGCGCGCCCCCUCCCACCCCGCGCCCGGCUCGCUCGCGGGUACAGUAGGUGUACAGCCAGGGGAAGAAGACACUGGGGCUGCCGGGAGGCUGAACCUGACUUCUCUUCAUUGUAGGCUCCUAUUGUCUUAACUCUGCCUUUCAAGAUUUUGCAACUCUGGCUCAACUCUAACAUCUUCAAGAUGCAGCAAAUUUGACUUUGAUGUGGAGAUUAGAGAUGCACUUUUCUCCUGUGUGGGCUCUGUUAUCCACAUCAGACUGCCCCUCUACAUGGAUGUAUCCUCACCCUACUCAGGCUGGGCCUCUCCACACUGGACUGACCUUUCUGUGAUGCUGUCUUCACCCUGUACCAGCAAAUUCUCCCUUUGUGGACAAUGGUUCAUCUCACUGCCACCGCAGGUGGAAGGGAAAAAGGGAAAACUUGGAAUUGAUUGUUCUGACUUGAAAUGAUCAUAAGAAUGUGAAGUAUUUCUCAGGGAAUCAGAGUUUUGUGUUAAAAUUUAUGCUGCUAAGUUAAUAAAUAC